This 74-nucleotide transfer RNA is filed under the name Chlorobiaceae bacterium. RNAcentral's name for it is "tRNA-OTHER". It matches the Rfam family "tRNA". From Rfam's summary of the family: Transfer RNA (tRNA) molecules are approximately 80 nucleotides in length. The record is from RNAcentral. Lineage: Bacteria; Pseudomonadati; Chlorobiota; Chlorobiia; Chlorobiales; Chlorobiaceae.
GUGACGUGGGUGAGUGGUUGAAACCGGAAACUGCAAGAGCAGUUUCGUCGCAAGUUCGAAUCUUGCCGUCGCCG